UUAUAAAAAAUUGAGUAUCAAAGGUAUGCUAAUUAUUGUAUUGCCUGAAAGAGUGUCAUUGCCAUUAAAAGCAGUAAAGAAUUCAAGUACUCUGGAAGAAAAAAGACAAGAAAACACUUCAGUAAAUGGCUGUGUAUUUUUGAAAGUUAAUUAUUUGGCACAAAUUGAAGUUAAAGACGAAGGAGAUUGUAUAUGUUAUUAACUAAGAAUAGUUUAUUAAAAUGGCCUAGCUGUAAAAUUGAAUUAUGCAGAAAGAGGAUGAAAAAUUGGAAUAGGAAAAAUGUUGAUUGCAUAUACUGCUAUAGAAACUGUGAAGUCAAAUAAGUAGGGCUUAUGCAGACAUGUGGUAGAGAUAGCGGAAGAAAAAAUAAUAAUUGUGGGCACCAAAUGUCAUAAGCUAAACACGAUUCAAUAACAAGUAGCUCAGUCAUUGGUCGAAACUACUAUAUAAAUUAUACAGUGAAUUUUUUUGUUUGAAA
Molecule: long non-coding RNA, 479 nt
Organism: Hydra vulgaris (swiftwater hydra)
Lineage: Eukaryota; Metazoa; Cnidaria; Hydrozoa; Anthoathecata; Hydridae
Source: RefSeq, a predicted model, not a curated record